CCUCCCGCACCUUAGGCAGCCAGUGUUCCCAGUACUGCAGCCACAGCUGAGUGGAAAACUGUUUACCAGACUUUGAUGAUGUCCACAAAACAACCACAGCCCUGGGCAUGUUGGGUGCUCUUUGUAAAUUAACUCACAUAAUCCUCACGACCAACUUCUAAGGUGGGCACUGUUGCCUUCAUCUCACCACAUUGGACGGCACACUCACUGAGUUCCUAACCUCCUCUUCUCUAUUGGUUUAUUCUCAGGCCGGGAAAGAGGCAUAAACUUGGAGAACCCAAGACCCCAGCCCGGCGUGCAGCCCCAGCAGCCAGACCAGCCUUGGGCAACAGCGUGGCGUUCAGCUGUCUGCGUCUUCAGUGCUCCUAUUCCAUUGCAUCUGAGUGAGCGAUUUGGGAGAAACAACAGGCAAAUGAUGAAAUAUACAAAUCUUCACUGUGCAAUUUUGAUCAGUUGCUUCUCCUAUGCAACCCUCACCCCAACAGAGACACAGCCUCUCGUCGGAACGCUUCUGCACACCCUUCUCAGCAACCCCCACCCUCUGCCCCCCACUCCCCACCAGAGCAACCAACAUCCUGAUGUCUCCCGUCAGAGUUGAGGAACAGAGAAGAUCUCCACUUGCCAACGAACACAGCACUAGUGAAGCCAAUUAUUGCGACAUCCACUGAUAAAGUUCAGGGGGAAUUAAAUUUUUUGGUCCAUGGGUGCAAAUCGCCUCCAGGCACCUUUACUGUCUCAGUGCUCUCCUCAGGAGGCUGCUGUUGGUGGCCAGGGAUUUUGCCAUGGCAGAGUUCUCAC
This 798-nucleotide long non-coding RNA is filed under the name Rhinopithecus bieti (black snub-nosed monkey). RNAcentral's name for it is "lncRNA (ENSRBIG00000045170.1)". Lineage: Eukaryota; Metazoa; Chordata; Mammalia; Primates; Cercopithecidae. The record is from RNAcentral.